Molecule: long non-coding RNA, 816 nt
Organism: Pistacia vera
Lineage: Eukaryota; Viridiplantae; Streptophyta; Magnoliopsida; Sapindales; Anacardiaceae
Exons: 2
Source: RefSeq, a predicted model, not a curated record
UAAGGAUUUGUUUGUUUUUGUUUUCUUGUAAUUAUAUUUAUCUCAGUGACAGUGGACCUGUAAAUGAAACCCUAGAAAUCACGGGGACCAUUAGGUAUGGCCUUAAAGAAGAAGAGUAAAGGGGUCCAGCUAAUGGCCACCCCAACCCAAAGAGAAACAACAAAAGCUUAAAUUGUUUUCAUAUAAAUCACAUCUAGAAUAAAAACUUCUUGACCUUCUGAAACACCCUUUAACAUAAAACAAAAACACAGUUUCCGUGUAUAUGCAAUGGACUCUCGCCUUUCACAUAAAUUAUUAUUAUUAUUUUAUAUAUAUAUAUAUAUAAGGAAGCUCCACACUCAAUCAAAAGAAUAUGAAGAAACAUUAGAUGACAGAAACAGAAAUAUGGGAAGCUCCAAGGAGAUUAUUAUUAUCAUCAUCUUCAUCAUCAGCAGUAGUCGCACCAGCCCUCUGUCCUGGUAAUGACGAUGAGAAAUUGCCACUUUUUUUUAUGGCUAAGGAAACCAAGAAGAGUUAUUGGUGAUGACUGAUGAUGCUGCAAGAGGAGAACGCCUGAAUUGAAGUAACCAAAUUAGCAGAAAAUUUCCCAUAUGGUAGAUGGAAUAUCAAAGCAUGAUUGGUAAGAGUGUGAAAUGAGAUAGCAGUUGUCUUCUUUCUACUCUGAUAGCUCAAAGAAUGAACUCAAUAUUUGUGGCUGCAAGUCUCUAUCUUAAUGGGUUUGUAGAAAAUUCAUAAUUUUGUGCUGUUUUGGUUAGUAUUUUCCCAUUUUUGUUCUUUUUCGCUGUAUCAUGAAUAAUAAAAUUGUGUUUCUUCCCC